RNAcentral lists this ribosomal RNA (275 nucleotides) under uncultured prokaryote. RNAcentral's name for it is "partial 16S ribosomal RNA". It matches the Rfam family "Bacterial small subunit ribosomal RNA", at positions 524 to 798 of the family's 1533-position model. The record is from RNAcentral.
UACGUAGGUGGCGAGCGUUGUCCGGAAUUACUGGGCGUAAAGGGCGCGUAGGCGGUCAUUUAAGUCGGGUGUGAAAUCUUGGGGCUCAACCCCAAGUUUGCAAACGAUACUGGGUGACUUGAGUGCAGGAGAGGGCAGUGGAAUUCCUAGUGUAGCGGUGAAAUGCGUAGAUAUUAGGAGGAACACCAGUGGCGAAGGCGGCUGCCUGGACUGUAACUGACGCUGAGGCGCGAAAGCGUGGGGAGCAAACAGGAUUAGAUACCCCCGUAGUCCCU